Non-coding RNA from Acanthosepion pharaonis, 103 nucleotides. Lineage: Eukaryota; Metazoa; Mollusca; Cephalopoda; Sepiida; Sepiidae. The record is from the annotation of a GenBank genome assembly.
CCACAUCACAUUAAAACAUUGUUUCCCAUUUGAUCACCAAAGUUAAGCAACGUCUCACCAGGUCAGUACCUAGAUGGGUGACUGCUUGAGAAUAACAGGUGCC